Molecule: RNA transcript, 5473 nt
Organism: Centrocercus urophasianus (Greater sage-grouse)
Lineage: Eukaryota; Metazoa; Chordata; Aves; Galliformes; Phasianidae
Gene name: cell surface hyaluronidase-like
Exons: 24
Source: RefSeq, a predicted model, not a curated record
CUGGGGCUGCCCCUGCCGGGAGAGCAUAACCCGGGUCCCAGCAGCUCGUGGUGGGAUGUGGAACAUGAAGAACUGCUGCACAGUCAAAGCACCCUGCCUGGAACUGUGGAACCAAACAGACCCAGCCCCUUCCUCCAUCCCAAUACCAGCAGAAGUUCCCUAAGUCAGAACCUGGGCCAGAAGUCACAAGAGAAGCAGUUGUCCUGUGAUGUGCUCCUCAAACUUUCCAGAUAUAUUUCAGUGGAUAUCUUUGGACCUGGCUUGGCCUGGAACCUCUUUCGGUUGUACAACUGUGAUCGUGAUGCCAAGCUACCCAAAAUACCCAACAUGUACGUCAGUCCCCUCAAGAUGGUGCGGCACAAGCUGAGGCCUUUCUUGCUGCACAGGAUGCUGCGGCUGCUGGGGAACAUGGGCGUGCUCACUGAGGGCCAGCAGCACAAGGUCUUCGCUCUGCUCAAGGAGCACAUGCUGAAAGCAAGGAAGAUACCACCAAAGCCCAAAGCAGAGCACAGUGGGCCGUGCCCGCAGCCUGUCUCGCACCUCGCCCCGUGGCAUCCCGGCUCCGACACCCGCCGCCACGCCGUGGUGGGUCGGGGGGUGGCCCUGCGUCUCGAGAGCUCCGCUGCUUUCCACUCUCUCGUCAUUCGCGACGGAGGGAAGGUGGUAUUCGCCGACCGCCCCCACGGGCCGCCCAUCACGCUGCGGGCCCGCUACAUCCUCAUCCGGGACGGCGGGGAGCUGCACGUCGGCUCGGAGCGCUGCCCCUAUGCCUCGCGGGCCACCAUCUCCCUGUACGGGAGAGCAGCCGACGGGGCGGCCGUGGACGGCUUCGGGCAGAAAUUCCUGGGCGUGGGGCGCGGCGGGGUGCUGGAGCUGCACGGGCGGCGGCCCCGCUCCUGGAGCCUCCUGGAUAAAACCCUGCACCCCGGAGGGCUCCGCCACGGCCCCUAUUACUCGGAGAGGCAGUGGGGCAGCCGCGGGCUCAACCUGCGAGUCCUGGACGCCGGCACGGGGCGGGUAGCAGCAGCCGGGCGCUUCGACACCCACCUGCGGGCCGCGGAGUGCCAUCGGCUGCGCGACUUCCUGGCACUGCAGCCCGAAGGCAGCGUGGUGGCGGCCGCCGUGGGGGACUCGGCCGCCCGCAGCCUCACGGUGGAGACGCGGCUGCUGCUGCGGGAUCGCUUGCGCAGCCAACACAUCUCCCGGCUGGGCUACAGGCAGCCCUGGGCGCUGGUGGGGAUCCUCGGAGGGGAUCCGCUUUCGACGGUGGAAGAGAAGAGAGAGUAUCAUGGGAAUGGGACAACAGGGUUAGCCGUAGCCCAAAGAGAAUUCCUCACCUACGAUGGCACCCGUUUCACUGUUACUGCUUUCAGUGGAUGGAUAAAAGGAGUGCCUCAUAAUGGGUUUAAAGUGGAGGUGUCCAAAGGAAUAAUUCUCCAUUUAGUGGAUGAUGUUAGGAGCUGGUUACCUGGUGACAGGAUCGUCAUUGCCAGUACGGAUUAUUCCAUGCAUCAGGCUGAGGAGUUCAAUCUCCUUCCUUGCCCUGAAUGUAAAAGCAAUCAAGUGAAAAUUGAUGGCAGCCCACUUUAUCUUCAUAUUGGCGAAGUCAUAGACGGCAUCGAUAUGAGGGCAGAGGUCGGUCUUCUGACUAGAAAUAUACUUAUCCAAGGAGAAAUGGAAGACUCCUGUUAUGGAGAAAAUCAAUGUCAGUUUUUCUCCUUUGACACGUUUGGAGGACAUAUUAAAAUCCUAGCGAAUUUUAGCUCUGUGCACAUGUCAGGUGUGGAGUUAAAAAACAUGGGGCAGCAAAUCCUGGGCAGUUACCCUGUGCACUUUCACAUGGCUGCAGAUGUCGAUGAGAGAGGAGGGUAUCAACGCCCAACGUACCUUGAUAAUCUGGCUAUCCACCACUGCUUCUCUAGGUGUGUUGCCAUACAUGGGACUCAUGGCCUGCUGGUAAAAGACACCAUUGGCUAUGACACCCUGGGGCACUGUUUUUUCCUGGAGGAUGGGACGGAGCAGCGCAAUACAUUCCAGCACAACUUGGGCCUGCUCACCAGGUCGGGAACCAUCUUGCCCUCAGAUCGCAAUGAAGCAAUGUGCCUUGCCAUCAGGAGCCACGUCUAUGGGAAUUACAUUCCGGUGCCAAGCACUGACUGCAUGGCUGUCAGCACUUUCUGGAUUGCAAAUCCAAACAACAACUUAAUAGAGAAUGCAGCUGCCGGUGCUCAGGAUGUCGGGAUCUGGUACAUCUUCCAUAGGGUUCCAACUGGACAGUCUGAAGGGCAAUAUCCAGAAGGACAAGCUGAACAUACCCCCUUGGGAGUGUUUUACAACAACAGAGUCCACUCCAAUUUCAAGGCUGGUUUGUUUAUUGGAAAAGGAGUAAAGACAACAAGAGCCAGCGCUGAAGAUCCCAGAGAGUAUCUCACUGUCGAUAAUGCCAGGUUUCGCCCACAUCAAGAUGCUGAUCCUGAAAAGCCACGAGUUCCUGCCGUAAUUGAUGGUCUCAUUGCUUUUAAAAAUAAUGACCAUGGGGCCUGGGCCAGGGGCGGCGACAUUAUUUUCCACAACUCUGGGUUUUCAGACAAUGGAAUUGGGCUCACACUGGCAAGUGAUGGGACAUUCCCAACUGACGAUGGCUCUAGCCUGGAGGUGUCACGCUCCAUUUUUGUUGGAGAAAGCAGCAAUCUGGGCUCCCAAGGAGGCCAGAACAGCUACUGGGGAAAAGGGGCAAACGGAGAAUACAGGACACUGCCCAGAAACAAGACAUUCCCUAUUCGUGGAUUCCAGAUUUAUGAUGGGCCUGUCAGGAUGGCAAAAUGCACUUUCAAGAAGUUUACCCCAACUGCUGACCGAUACUCAAGUGCCAUCGGCUUCUUCAUGAAAAACUCCUGGCAGAUAAGCCCCCAGAAUAAUGUGUCACAAAUCCUGAUGGAGAAGAGCGUUGGACUGAAAGUGUUUUUUGGCAGAGCGGGCCAGUGGUUUGGAAACAAUGAUAAUGACGGUGACAAAAUGUCUGUCUUCCAUGAUCUGGAUGGCUCCGUGACAGGAUAUUCCAACACCUUUGUAGGCAGAGCAGACAACUACCUGCUCCGUCAUCCCGGCUGCGUCACCGUCCCCCGCUGGAAUGGGGUGAUGUGCACUGGUAGAUAUGCACAGCUUUAUAUUCAGGCCAGGCGCCCUGAGAAUCUGACCUUAUCCAUUGCCAGAGCAGCAUACCACUCCCACCCCUUGCAGUUGCAAGGCGUGAACAGAGGAGCGCCGUACCAGCAAUACCAGCCGGUCGUCAUGCUGGAGCAGGCUUACAUCAUCCAGUGGGAUGGCAGAGCGCCUGAGGAUAUCAUCCUGUACCCAAUCAACUUCAACAGAGGAGACUGGCUGCACGUUGCCCUCUGCUAUCCCAGGAACACCAUCUUCCACGUGGUGAAAGAUAUCUACCAGCGACGGACAGGGAUGGUGCACAGCAUAAAGCAUUACCUCAUGGCUCCUUCCCGUGACAGUGUUCUCAAUGGGACCGGCGAGCAGCUCUUCUACUUUGACAGAGCGUUGGGGUACCUAUUUGUCCACCUGCAGGCCCACGAAGCUCGGCAAGGGCACAGUUACUGCUCCCAGCAAGGCUGUGAACGUAUCAAAAUCAUGGCGCAGAUGUACCCGGGGGGGUCCUGGAGCUGUGCCCCCAACCCCUUUUUGCAGAGGCCAGCUGCCCCGCAGCGCCCUGUGUCCCAGCACCAGGCAGUGCCAUGCAGGGCUUGUGGGGCCCCACAGCUUGCUAUCACCAGCACGCCCUCAGUCAAGUAUGUAAGAAUCCAGAUCCAGUCCCUCAGCAAGGCAGACAUACAGAACCACUUGACAUCUGCAUUCAUUAAGAUAAAUGACACGACGCUCCUGUUUAGUAGCCCUGGGGUGUUCUUCGUGGUGCUAGAUGCAUGUUCAGGAGCAGUUGUGAGUAGGCGGCACUUUGACACAGUUGCUGGGGAAAAUGUGACCGAUUCAAUAACUGAUUAUGUUCAAACAUUAAUAAAAGAGAGAUCACUUGUUCUUGUGUGCUCUAGAGAUAUUGGAGACAAGGUGUGGAGCUCUGAAAUGUCUGUUUUUACAAGGUUAGGUUCGGCAAAGCCUAUUGUCUUCCACAGAGAAGGUAAAUAUUUUUUAUUUUCUUGGAUGAAAGAAAGGUGAAGCACCAGACUUGGGAAGUUUCUACUUACAGUUUUACCUUGAAUUGCUGUAAAAAAUCCAUCAGUAUCAUUGGUCCAGAAAAUUCAAGUCAUUUUGGAUCACAGAUUUUUAUACCCUUAGAGCAUUCAUUUAGAAAUAGUUUCACUGUAUUUGCAAAGAAAUGAGAAAGAAAAUAGGAAAAUCAUUGCAGAUGACACUGGCCAGAUCCUGAUUGAUGCUCUAUUCCAUUCCAAAGACUGUUCUCUUCACAGUAAGACGUUUGUAGGCACCUCCUCACUGCGGUGCCUUUAAGCAGCACUCGUUUCUGGCAGAACAGCUUUCAGCCUGAAUUCUGUUUCUGAUGGAUUUGAGGGAACUGCUUGUGGAAGCUCAGUGUGCACAUAGCUGCCAGCUACAUACUGCCUUCAUUGUGCUGGGUUUCCUAUUAGAAAACGGGGCUGUUGAAGUCCAGGUUUGGACAAAUGACUCAAGCAAUGAGGAAAUUAGGAAAAUAACUAGCUAGCUUGAGUCAGAUUCCACCUGCAACCUCUUAAGCAGAAAUCAGAUGCAGAAUUGGUUGUAUUUUCAGCUCCUUUUUUUGUUGUUGUUGUUGCUUUUGCUUUAUUGAAAUUUACUUUCAAAGCUUAUUGCUGUGACUGUUCCAGGAAGAGAACAGCAUACUCUUUACAGCAGAGACAGUACUUCACUUUGGUGCCUGUUUGAUUCCUGAGAAGCUGUUUUAUCUUUCAUCCUUUCAAAGCAAAAAAUUUGAGGUUUUCUUUUUUUUUUUUUUUGCUAUUUCUUUGUCCUGGAACUUCAUUGCUUCAUUCCUUCAUCAAAGCCCUGAAUACUUUUGAAAGGAAUGUCUUGAUUAAAAAGGACUCUUUUUUGUUUACUUUGUCAAACUUAGUUCCCUGGCACACCUGCACUGCUCGCUUGGAUGCAGCCAUUCCAGGUCAUUUUUGGGAGCUCGGGUCCUCUGCCUCUGCAGCACACAAAGGAGUACACAGGGCCACCACAAGUCCCCAUCAAGGGCCGUUUCCUUGCUCUGCUGCUUCACUUGAGAAGUCAGGGUCAUUGUGCUGAUGGCUGACAGUGGGAUUAAGCCGUGUUGGCUGAUGCCGCGUUGCCCCUGUUUUACUUUUCUUAAGGGCAAGGGUGAUCACCUGCACGCCUGCCCUAAGUUCCAGUCUGGGUAAUUAUGUUCAGAUUCAUGAGCUUUCUCCUGCUGAUUCAGGGAGUUUUGCUAUGCUCGGCUAUAAAGGACAAGCCAAGCCCUCCUGGAUUAAAGUCCUAAAUCACACUCGUUAUCAGA